GCCAGAGGCGAGGCGGCGAGGGAGGGCGGCUUCAGCCCAGCCGGCCGCUCUUCCCUCAGGGGUGGACCGGGAGUGGCUUUUGCCGGCUUAUUUAUCCUGUGACAGCGUUGGAGGAGAGACCACAGUUCCCUGUGGCUGCCAGUGAGGGACACAAAGCAAACUGGGAAGCCUGUAGAAAGCCGACAGUGUCAGAGAAAGUGCAAAGAUGAGAGGAAAGAAAAGGAUUUCCUAGAUGUAAAAAAUUACUCUUUGCUGCUGCUCCAGCUGACAUUAUCUGCACACAGGCAAGUAGACAUGCAGUCUCUGGCUGGCCUCAUCUUAUUUGUAGAUAAGUUAAUCAGUAUUUUAGAUAACUA
Calidris pugnax (ruff) is the source of this 356-nucleotide long non-coding RNA. RefSeq lists it as uncharacterized. The transcript has 3 exons. The record is from RefSeq and is a predicted model, not a curated record. NCBI's taxonomy places the organism in Eukaryota, Metazoa, Chordata, Aves, Charadriiformes, Scolopacidae.